Molecule: ribosomal RNA, 468 nt
Filed under: uncultured bacterium
Lineage: Bacteria
Description: partial 16S ribosomal RNA
Rfam family: Bacterial small subunit ribosomal RNA
Source: RNAcentral
GACGAACGCUGGCGGCGUGCUUAACACAUGCAAGUCGAACGGAAAGGCCCUGCUUUUGUGGGGUGCUCGAGUGGCGAACGGGUGAGUAACACGUGAGUAACCUGCCCUUGACUUUGGGAUAACUUCAGGAAACUGGGGCUAAUACCGGAUAGGAGCUCCUGCUGCAUGGUGGGGGUUGGAAAGUUUCGGCGGUUGGGGAUGGACUCGCGGCUUAUCAGCUUGUUGGUGGGGUAGUGGCUUACCAAGGCUUUGACGGGUAGGCGGCCUGAGAGGGUGACCGGCCACAUUGGGACUGAGAUAGGGCGCAGACUGGUACGGGAGGCAGCAGUGGGGAGUAUUGUACAAUGGGCGGAAGCCUGAUGCAGCAACGCCGCGUGUGGGAUGACGGCCUUCGGGUUGUAAACCGCUUUCGCCUGUGACGAAGCGUGAGUGACGGUACUGGGUAAAGAAGCACCGGCUAACUACGUG